ACUCCUACGGGAGGCAGCAGUGGGGAAUAUUGCACAAUGGGCGCAAGCCUGAUGCAGCCAUGCCGCGUGUGUGAAGAAGGCCUUCGGGUUGUAAAGCACUUUCUAGUUGUGAGGAAGGUGGUGUCGUUAAUAGCGGCAUCAUUUGACGUUAGCAACAGAAGAAGCACCGGCUAACUCCGUGCCAGCAGCCGCGGUAAUACGGAGGGUGCGAGCGUUAAUCGGAAUUACUGGGCGUAAAGCGCAUGCAGGUGGUUGUUAAGUCAGAUGUGAAAGCCCGGGGCUCAACCUCGGAACUGCAUUUGAAACUGGCAGACUAGAGUACUGUAGAGGGGGUAGAAUUUCAGGUGUAGCGGUGAAAUGCGUAGAGAUCUGAAGGAUACCGGUGGCGAAGCGGCCCCUGGACAGAUACUGACACUCAGAUGCGAAAGCGUGGGAGCAAACAGGAUUAGUACCCCUGGUAGCGACUGA
Molecule: ribosomal RNA, 468 nt
Filed under: uncultured bacterium
Lineage: Bacteria
Description: bacterial SSU rRNA
Rfam family: Bacterial small subunit ribosomal RNA
Source: RNAcentral